This 339-nucleotide ribosomal RNA is filed under the name uncultured bacterium. RNAcentral's name for it is "bacterial SSU rRNA". It matches the Rfam family "Bacterial small subunit ribosomal RNA", at positions 335 to 662 of the family's 1533-position model. The record is from RNAcentral.
ACUCCUACGGGAGGCAGCAGUGGGGAAUAUUGCACAAUGGGGGAAACCCUGAUGCAGCCAUGCCGCGUGUGUGAAGAAGGCCUUGGGUUGUAAAGCACUUUCAGUAGGGAGGAAGGUAGUGUAGUUAACACCUGCAUUAUUUGUACGUUACCUACAGAAGAAGCACCGGCUAACUCCGUGCCAGCAGCCGCGGUAAGUACGGAGGGUGCGAGCGUUAAUCGGAAUUACUGGGCGUAAAGCGCAUGCAGGCGGCCUGUUAAGUCAGAUGUGAAACGCCCGGGGUACUUAACCUCGGAAUUGCAUUUGAAACUGGCAGGCUAGAGUCUGUAGAGGGGUUAG